AGAGUUUGAUCAUGGCUCAGAUUGAACGUUGGCGGCAGGCCUAAAACAUGCAAGUCGAACGGUAACAGCGGAAGCUUGCUUCCGGCUGACGAGUGGCGGACGGGUGAGUAACACGUAGGAAUCUACCUAAUAGUGGGGGACAACCCGGGGAAACCCGGGCUAAUACCGCAUACGCUCUACGGAGGAAAGCAGGGGAUCUUCGGACCUUGCGCUAUUGGAGGAGCCUGCGUCGGAUUAGCUAGUUGGUGGGGUAAAGGCCUACCAAGGCGACGAUCCGUAGCUGGUCUGAGAGGACGAUCAGCCACACUGGAACUGAGACACGGUCCAGACUCCUACGGGAGGCAGCAGUUAGGAAUCUUGGGCAAUGGGCGCAAGCCUGACCCAGCCAUGCCGCGUGUGUGAAGAAGGCCUUCGGGUUGUAAAGCACUUUCAGCGGUGAAGAAAAGCUCAGGGCUAAUACCCUUGAGUCUUGACGUUAACCACAGAAGAAGCACCGGCUAACUCCGUGCCAGCAGCCGCGGUAAUACGGAGGGUGCGAACGUUAAUCGGAAUCACUGGGCGUAAAGCGCGCGUAGGCGGUCUGUUAAGUGGGAUGUGAAAUCCCCGGGCUUAACCUGGGAAUUGCAUUUCAAACUGGCCGACUAGAGUACGGUAGAGGGAGGUAGAAUUUCCUGUGUAGCGGUGAAAUGCGUAGAUAUAGGAAGGAAUACCAGUGGCGAAGGCGGCCUCCUGGAUCGAUACUGACGCUGAGGCGCGAAAGCGUGGGGAGCAAACAGGAUUAGAUACCCUAGUAGUCC
Molecule: ribosomal RNA, 797 nt
Filed under: uncultured bacterium
Lineage: Bacteria
Description: bacterial SSU rRNA
Rfam family: Bacterial small subunit ribosomal RNA
Source: RNAcentral